AAAAAUAUAAACUAUUAUUAACAAAUACCCCUGCCCCCUUAAUCUUCUUCUUCAUUAUCUCGUUUGUCGGAAAAUUCUUUCGACUAUGGAGCCAGAUCUGCGUCUAGACUAAAUAUAGUCUAGAAUUUGUACAAGCCCGACUUGCUGGAUAUGCUUUUACUGAAUAUUAGUUAGAUCAAGUCUUAAAAUUUCAGAAAGAAAAGCACCAUUCCUUGUUUUCUGCCUUCAACUAUAUGGAGUCGAAUUUCAAAAAAAUAAAAUAAAACCUUAAACUGUGG
Molecule: long non-coding RNA, 278 nt
Filed under: Panax ginseng (ginseng)
Lineage: Eukaryota; Viridiplantae; Streptophyta; Magnoliopsida; Apiales; Araliaceae
Description: long non-coding RNA (PGIN_LNC015940)
Source: RNAcentral